This 477-nucleotide ribosomal RNA is filed under the name uncultured anaerobic ammonium-oxidizing bacterium. RNAcentral's name for it is "bacterial SSU rRNA". It matches the Rfam family "Bacterial small subunit ribosomal RNA", at positions 365 to 832 of the family's 1533-position model. The record is from RNAcentral.
UUCGCAAUGCCCGAAAGGGUGACGAAGCGACGCCGCGUGUGGGAAGAAGGCCUUCGGGUUGUAAACCACUGUCGGGAGUUAAGAAAUGUAAGGGUGUUAAUAGCGUCCUUACUUGACUAAGGCUCCGGAGGAAGCCACGGCUAACUCUGUGCCAGCAGCCGCGGUAAUACAGAGGCGGCAAGCGUUGUUCGGAAUUAUUGGGCGUAAAGAGCACGUAGGCGGCCUUGAAAGUCAGUUGUGAAAGCCUUCUGCUUAACGGAAGAACAGCAUCUGAUACUACAGGGCUUGAGUGCGGGAGGGGAGAGUGGAACUUCUGGUGGAGCGGUGAAAUGCGUAGAUAUCAGAAGGAACGCCGGCGGCGAAAGCGGCUCUCUGGCCUGUAACUGACACUGAGUGUGCGAAAGCUAGGGGAUCAAACGGGAUUAGAUACCCCGGUAGUCCUAGCCGUAAACGAUGGGCACUAAGUAGAGGGGUUUU